This 316-nucleotide ribosomal RNA is filed under the name uncultured eukaryote. RNAcentral describes it as "partial 18S ribosomal RNA". It matches the Rfam family "Eukaryotic small subunit ribosomal RNA", at positions 1470 to 1796 of the family's 1831-position model. The record is from RNAcentral.
CCCUUAGAUGUUCUGGGCCGCACGCGCGCUACACUGAUGCAUUCAACGAGUCUAAAACCUGCUCUGAUAGGGGUGGGUAAUCUUUUGAAUGUGCAUCGUGAUUGGGAUAGAUGAUUGCAAUUUUUCAUCUUCAACGAGGAAUGCCUAGUAAACGCAAGUCAUCAGCUUGCAUUGAUUACGUCCCUGCCCUUUGUACACACCGCCCGUCGCUCCUACCGAUUGAAUGGUCCGGUGAAGCCUCCGGAUUGGCGCGCACCUCGGUGCCGCCGAGAAGUUGGCUAAACCUUACCAUUUAGAGGAAGGUGAAGUCGUAACA